Molecule: ribosomal RNA, 584 nt
Filed under: Calacarus carinatus
Lineage: Eukaryota; Metazoa; Arthropoda; Arachnida; Trombidiformes; Eriophyidae
Description: partial 28S ribosomal RNA
Source: RNAcentral
AAAUAGAACUUUGCAGAGAGAGUUAAGAGGGCGUGAAACCGUUAAUUGGCAAACGAAUCGGAGCCACGAAGUCGUUUCGUCGAGCUAGGUCGGGUUCAGCUUGCAACCUUCGGGUUGCUGGCGUAUUCUCGUGCCAAGCCAAUGUAAGCGUACACUGCAACCAGUUAGACAAUUGUCCAUGGAACCAGUUGAUCUUGGAUGCGCAAGCAUCUAAGUUUAGCGAACGGUUUGUUUGGUCAGGUUAGUAGUAGUGUGCUGUGGACUUGUCCUCAGUGUGCUGCUGGAUCUGUUGCCAAGUGACCUAUGGGCAAAUACUGACUGGCAAAAUGAAAAUCGCGCGCAAGCGUGUGCACAAAUUGCGCCUUGUUGUAUGAUAGGCUACACAAUCCACCGUGGAUAUAUUAAAGUUCGGUGCUUUUGAAUUUGGACUUGCUAGCUACCAAUGGGGCAACUCUUGGUGCUAGUAUAGCUUCCAUCUAAUCGGGUGCUGGCUUGUAUUCACGUCGUUGUGGUUGUGCUACGAUCGGUAUACAUAUAAGCGAGUGCGUGAAAAUUGGCAGUGAGUAGGUCGGCUUUCCGAACGA